UGUCUGAUAAAUACUUAAAAGACCACAUUCUUCUUCUAGUUAGUAAAUGAAAAAUCACUGGUGAGGUCUCACAAUAGAAACAGUAUGAGAUAAACCACUGUUAAAAUUCCAGCUUACUUCAAAUAUUAUAGCCAAAGCCAAAAGAAGAAUCAGCAUGUCAAAAAGAGACCGUGAAUAGUGAUGAGAGAUGAAAGACAUGUCUAAAAAAUAUGUAAUGAAUAACUCCCUUUGACUGAUAAUGUAGAUAUUAUUAGUGAAGGCAACAUUCAAGGAAAGAGAAAAAGACGGUCCUGAUUCACAUGUUUAAGCUAAUUGGAGUAAGUAUUAUUGUUGGUCUCGUUUCUAAGGAACAGAAGUAUUGGGUGUUUGGGGUUAUCUGUUCAGAUUAGAAUUUCAAU
This 398-nucleotide long non-coding RNA is filed under the name Homo sapiens (human). RNAcentral describes it as "non-protein coding lnc-FGF9-15:1". Lineage: Eukaryota; Metazoa; Chordata; Mammalia; Primates; Hominidae. The record is from RNAcentral.